Molecule: long non-coding RNA, 449 nt
Organism: Heterocephalus glaber (naked mole-rat)
Lineage: Eukaryota; Metazoa; Chordata; Mammalia; Rodentia; Bathyergidae
Source: RefSeq, a predicted model, not a curated record
CGCGGACCUCGCGGGGCCGAUGGCUUCGAAAGUAAAAUGCUCGAGAUGACUUCCUCAACAGUCUAUGGAAGGCGAAAAGGAGGCCCCAACCCAGCCGCGCCAGGCCGGCCUCGCCCGGCGGAGACAGCGCCCGGGCUACAAGUACAAGACUGAGGCAUUGGCCGCGCCGAUCCCCUCUGAAGCCUGCCCCUCACAGACGGCCGUCUUCUCGUGGCACCUCCACGGGGUCGCCCUCGGCGUGCGUCUACGCCAGGAUCCCUGCGUCUAUCAGGAUGCCAGUCAUUUUGGGGGCAGAAAAAUGGAGAAAGAAGCCUUUUGACAAAUAGUACCAUAACACUGAGUAUCCAGAUGUGAAGACGGAAGGAGAGAGAAAGAAGGAGGAAAAAGAACCUCAAUGCACAUCUUAUACCAUGUACAAGAAUUAACUCAAAAUGGCUCAGCUCUAAGUG